RNAcentral lists this long non-coding RNA (1044 nucleotides) under Rattus norvegicus (Norway rat). Its description in RNAcentral is "long non-coding RNA NONRATT023954". The record is from RNAcentral. Lineage: Eukaryota; Metazoa; Chordata; Mammalia; Rodentia; Muridae.
UGACUAGGACUGAGGCUGAGUCCUUGCUCUCCUGAGCCUUAUUUUUUGACCCUUUCUGGUAGUAGAUAAACAGGAGAGAGGACUGGGCAGCUUGGCUGAGCUAAGCCUUCUGCUAAGGCCACUCUCCAAACCCCAGUGUUUUGGCCAAGAAAGGCGUGUUUGGGGGAGGGGUGGGAUUGGUCCACGUGGGCAACUCAAAUUUUGGGGAGGGUUGGGAUUCCUUAGAAGAAGCUUUUUGCCUAGAGCCAUGUCUGUCUCCCCCAGAACUGACCCCCCAGAAGGGCCACCUGAGAUCCACAGAGAACGCAUCCCCAGACAGUGAGCGCUGCUUGGGAGGCACCAGCCCUUCAAAAAAAAAAAUGUUUAAACGCAUCUCCUGCUCGUACCGGGGUGUGAUUUCCUGCCAGUCUUUAUAUCUGAACAGCAGACACAGAGGCCACACUCAUCGAGGCCAGGACAGUCUUGGCCGAAGAAAACUCACUAGGCAGAGGCGGGAUGCAAAGAUGCCCUUACACCCACCGGCCAGAAGGCCUCACGGCCAUCGCAGAAAUGGAAGUGAGGCACAAACAGAAGCUACAACCCAGGAUACAGGGAGGCUUUCUUGCCCAAGAAGGGUGGGUGCAGCGGUCUGUCCCAUCCAAGGGCUGGGACAUCGGGCUGCUCGAAGACCCCGAAGGGGUGUAGGGACUACAUCUGCCUCAAGGGCUCCACGUCCUGGUGCCCUUAUGCCUGCAACGCGCAACCGUCCAAGAUUCAUCCACUACCGGGUUCAACCCCCUCGGACCCAUGUCAGCUUCAAGAGACCCAAACGGUCCAGGACCCAUCAAUCCCACACUAAGGUGCCAGGCUGGACCCAUGAGAAACGGAUGGGGAGCAGUGUCGAGGAAGGGCUCCGGCCUGAGCUAAGUCAGCUGGAACAAGAUGCAGACAACCUAGGGGAAGAAGAAGCUGCCAGGCUCCCGGUGACUUCCCUGAAUGGGCUCCUGAUGGAAGGAGACAGGCAUCCCAAUCCUGGUCAGGGCCCUUUCUUCUACAUCGGAGGCA